GUUGAGUGUUUAAGAUUUUUGAUUAAUUUAAAAUAUAAUUAUAUUAAUUAAUUUACUUAAAGUAUUUUAAAGAAAUAAUUUUCUUAUAAAACUGAAAAGGAAUUAAAGAUUUUUUUAAAAUAAAUUUGUUGUACCUUUUGUAUCAGGGUAAUUUAAUUAUUUUAAUUAUUUUAUAAUCUCGAAUUAAAAGGAUUUAUUAUUAUAGAAAUUUAUUUGUUUAAUAAAAUUUUUUAAUAUAGUAGUAGUAGUUAUAUGUUAAUCGGUUUUUAUUUAUCUAGUUAUUAAGGAAUUAAUUUAAUUAAGUAUUUUAUAGUAAAAGGUAGUUUCUUAAUUAGUAGUUAAAAUAUUAUAUUACUAGGGAUAAUCUUGGUAAUUUAGUUACAUAAUUUAUUUUUAUAUAGUUAUUUUCUUUAAUAUUUUGAUUUAAGUUUUUAAUAAAUUUUUAUAAAAUUAUAAGAUUUUUUUUAGGUUAAUUUAUUACUUAAUUUAUUAAUAUAUUUUUUAUUUUUUUUUAAUAAUGAUUUAAUUAGUAUAAUUUAAAAUAAUUUUUUUAUGAACUCGACAAUUUUAUCUUCCAACUGUUUAACAAAAACAUUUCUUUUUGGUUUUUAUAUAAAGUAUGUUCUGCUCUAUGAUUAUUUAAAUGGCUGCAGUAUUUUGACUGUACAAAGGUAGCAUAAUAAUUAGUUUUUUAAAUGGAAGCUGGGAUGAAGGAAUUAAUGAGAAGAUCAUUUUAUUAAUGUUUUUUUUAAAAUUUUAAUUUUAAGUAAAAAUGCUUAAUUAAAUUCUUGGGACGAUAAGACCCUAUAGAACUUAAUAAGGUUGUAUAAUAACUUGUUUUUAUUCUAUUUAACAUUUUAUUUAUAGUUUUAUUUAGCUGGGGUGGUUAAUAAAUUUGAACUUUAUUUUUUUAAUUCAUAUAUUUAUGUUAAUUAAGAUCAUUAAUUUGAUUAUAAGAAUAAGUUACCUUAGGGAUAACAGCGUAAUUUUAAUGGAGAGUUCAAAUCUAUAUUAAAGUUUGCGACCUCGAUGUUGAAUUAAGAAAAUUCUAAGAAGCAGUAUUUUUGGGGUUUAGUCUGUUCGACUAUUAAAUUCUUACAUGAUUUGAGUUCAAACCGGUGUGAGCCAGGUUGGUUUCUAUCUUAGAAUACUUAAAUCUUUUUAGUACGAAAGGACCAAAGGGUUAUAGGUUAACUAUAAU
RNAcentral lists this ribosomal RNA (1201 nucleotides) under Cicadula sp. EMHAU-2015-Zz052713. RNAcentral describes it as "16S ribosomal RNA". The stretch from base 974 to 1132 matches the Rfam family "Archaeal large subunit ribosomal RNA", at positions 2542 to 2701 of the family's 2987-position model. The record is from RNAcentral. Lineage: Eukaryota; Metazoa; Arthropoda; Insecta; Hemiptera; Cicadellidae.